Molecule: long non-coding RNA, 2139 nt
Organism: Myodes glareolus (Bank vole)
Lineage: Eukaryota; Metazoa; Chordata; Mammalia; Rodentia; Cricetidae
Source: RefSeq, a predicted model, not a curated record
CGGGCUCCUCACACACCGAGUCCGGAGUCUACCCGAGGGAAGCCCAGGGCGGCCUUGGAGAGGAGCAAGCGGACCCGCGGAGGUUCUCCCUCAGCCUCAGGAAGGACUCCGAGAUGCGCGGAGCGGAACCCCUCUCCAGACUUUAGAGUCGCCCCCCUCCCCGACCGGGACCGUUACCGGUCGCCGCCUGAAGGAGCGGCUCUGUGAUUGUCGCUAGAGUGGCCUGGGCAUCGUUUGUCUAGGGCACGUUGACUUGUGGCCCUGGAAGGUUCUUUGCUUAUUUCCUUCCCAGCGUUGCAGCUGGAUCAGUAUAGCUCCAGAACCUGCUGUCAGCUCCACCCUCUUCAGUACUCAACACGACUAUUAAUCCUUAGAGGAUAGGCUGCUGAACAAGAUUGCCUGCAUGAUUUUUCUACCAACCAGUAUGAAAAAGAAAAUGCUAGAAUUCUUAAUUUUGCUGUUUCCGGGAGCCUUUGCAAAUCAAUUCAGCAUGAAGGGAAAACAAGAAAACCAAAGAAGCGGCUUUAAAAAUCGUGACGUCAAGCAGGGUCCAGUGUCUCUCAUCUGUAAUACGAGCAUUUGGGAAGCUGAGGCAGGAGGACUGCUGUGAGUCUGAGACCAGCUUGAGCUACAAGUUUGUUUCAAAAAACAAAACAAAAACGAACAAAGAAAAAGAAGAACCAUGAUGUCAUGGUGUCAGUGGCUCUUGGAUGACUCUAGUUUUCUCUACUCUAACUGUAUCAACAAACUCAAUUUCUUAGAGCAGUCGUGUGGUAAAGUGACCAGCAGAAGCCACAGAAAUGGCCACUGUCUGUUAUUCAGGAGAGGUUUUGCAUGAUUUCCUUCAUGACUGCAUAUGCUUUUCUCUUGGAUGGUUUUACCUUGCCUGCUUCUUAAAAAUGUUCAUUGGCAUGCAGGUGCAUUUUCUGCACUGUCUGUUCUCACCCGGUGCAAUUCCUCAUCUAAUGUCACGGUCUUCUCCAUACCCUGAUGUCACAGAGUGCUGACACAGGCAGGCUUCAUCUACGGAAUAUACUUUCUUUCACCUCAGUGUCUCUAAGGCUUUAUUGGGAAAAGUGUUAGAGAAUACAGAAAUAUUAGCCUGAAAAUCUUUCGAAUAAUCUCCAUAAAGAGAAUUCUUUUGUCCUAAGUAUUAGCAAGGGUACUCCUUUUCCUGCCUAUCCCAGCUAUCUCAUGAAGGGGGUCAUAAUAAUUAUUUUUCUUUGUCAUUAUUAGCCCAGUUCUGUUCUUGUAGACAACAGAUAUGUAUUGUGCUUAAAUGUCUUUGGGUAAAUGCCUAUCCACAUGAUCACUGGCCAUUGUAGGCCCUGUAUCUGGGCUGGUCACAUCAUCCACAGUCACUGAGCUGAGUGAGGCUCUUCUUUAAGGUAGAAUAUUUAAGGUAGAAUAAGGAGGACAUAUUCUCUUCUUUCUUCUCUCUUGUGGAACUUCAUGAAAGGCUUGGCUCUUCUUUCUACUUGUCUGAAUAAAGAGCUGGAGGGUUUCUCUGAGCCCCGAUAGGAUAAGAACCCUGUCCUUGGGCAGUCUACAUGGCUCCUGGUCCCUUGGCUGCCCUUAGAGAUGUGCCUGCACCUUUAUUGCCAUGAGUUGGCUUCUGGAACCCCAGAAGCACUGGAAGAUGAAGGUCCUUUAGGGAACCCAUUCUUUUCUUCUGGUCUGGCUGCUUUUGUUCUUUCUCUCCCUGUCUCUCUUGCAUGUAGCCAUAGCUGUCUUUGGAUUUCUCAUCCCGUUGCUACUGUUUCCUGAGCGACAGGAUUGCAGGUGUACACCAUGCCUGGUUUAUGGGACUCAAACCCAGGGCUUUGUGCACGCUCAACAAGCACGCUACCAACUGAGCUGUACCCCAACCUCCAUUUUGCUUUCUUUACGAAGCUCCAGUUUUUUAAACUAGCCAUACUACAUGCUUGGGCGAAGACUUGCAGAAUGCAUUGGUAAAUGCCACUGCAAUUUCUUUUUUCUUUUCUUUUGUAUCAUAAAAUUGACUGCUGGCUUGCUUUGGUGAGAGAUCAAGUAGUCCAGAAAGGAGGCUGGGUCUGUUGACGUCAGUGGGAUACUCUUCUUGGUUCUUAGUCCAAGAAGUACAAUUUAGUAGAGCGGAAGUUUCAGUUGCCCAGUGUU